CCUACGGGGGGCAGCAGUGGGGAAUUUUGCGCAAUGGGCGAAAGCCUGACGCAGCAACGCCGCGUGAGUGAUGAAGGCUUUCGGGUCGUAAAGCUCUGUCAAGGGGAAAGAAGUGUAUUGUGGCUAAUAUCCGCGAUACUUGACGGUACCCCUGAAGGAAGCACCGGCUAACUCCGUGCCAGCAGCCGCGGUAAUACGGGGGGUGCAAGCGUUGUUCGGAAUUAUUGGGCGUAAAGCGCGUGUAGGCGGUUUGUUAAGUCUGAUGUGAAAGCCCUGGGCUCAACCCAUGAAGUGCAUUGGAUACUGGCAGACUUGAAUACGGGAGAGGGUAGUGGAAUUCCUGGUGUAGGAGUGAAAUCCGUAGAUAUCAGGAGGAACACCGGUGGCGAAGGCGGCUACCUGGACCGAUAUUGACGCUGAGACGCGAAAGCGUGGGUAGCAAACAGGAUUAGAUACCCUGGUAGUC
This 466-nucleotide ribosomal RNA is filed under the name uncultured Geobacter sp. Its description in RNAcentral is "bacterial SSU rRNA". It matches the Rfam family "Bacterial small subunit ribosomal RNA", at positions 338 to 795 of the family's 1533-position model. Lineage: Bacteria; Pseudomonadati; Thermodesulfobacteriota; Desulfuromonadia; Geobacterales; Geobacteraceae. The record is from RNAcentral.